UACGGAGGGGGCUAGCGUUGUUCGGAAUUACUGGGCGUAAAGCGCGCGUAGGCGGCUUUGUAAGUUAGAGGUGAAAGCCCGGGGCUCAACUCCGGAAUUGCCUUUAAGACGUGCAUCGCUAGAAUCGUGGAGAGGUAAGUGGAAUUCCGAGUGUAGAGGUGAAAUUCGUAGAUAUUCGGAAGAACACCGGUGGCGAAGGCGGGC
This 204-nucleotide ribosomal RNA is filed under the name uncultured bacterium. RNAcentral describes it as "partial 16S ribosomal RNA". It matches the Rfam family "Bacterial small subunit ribosomal RNA", at positions 524 to 725 of the family's 1533-position model. The record is from RNAcentral.